GGGGUGGUGAUCUAACUUGGCUAUGAUACCUGACUUGGGCUCAGGAUGUUCCGGGUUCAAAUCCCGGCUGCCCCA
Candidatus Parvarchaeum acidophilus ARMAN-5 is the source of this 75-nucleotide non-coding RNA. NCBI's taxonomy places the organism in Archaea, Nanobdellati, Candidatus Parvarchaeota. The record is from Rfam.